UCUGGUGUCACAAUCCACGAACUUCUAAGAAUUUUCUACAAACACUGGUUUAAAAUAAAUACAUCUGUUCUCGAAAUAAAAAGAGACAGGAAAUCUAAUAUAGAGGGAAGGGUACUCCAGUGUCUGCGAACACUGGCAGAUCUACCUUGGGUCUCUUAUGGAUGAAGGCAGCAACCCAAACUCUGAUCAGUGCGUUCCAGUAUCGGGAUCUGCACAAAAAGUGUAGAGUGCAAUAUUAGUACAACUGACCCCAUGUACUGGUAAAUGCCGAACCUAACCUCACAAGUAGUGACGAGGCUAGGACACGACAAACAACAUGAACUUGUGCAAUUAAAUCAUAUACGAGAAAAUAACAAUAAAGGAAAUUUAACAGUUAAUAAUGGGAAACAGAUAAACAUGCUGAGGUGACUAUGAAUAUUCUGAAAAUAAUACAGUACAGGAACACAGUAAAUAUCAUACUUUGAACCAAUGAAAGUAAUAACACAGUAGUCACAUGCACGACAUCACCCUUCGUUCUUUUACUCUCGUCCUUACCCUAACAAAUAAUAGAAACGACACAACAUCACCCUUCAUGCAUUAACUAUCUCAUAAUUAUGGCAUGACAUCACCCUUCGUGCAUUAUCAAUAUUAGAAUACGGCACGACAUCACCCUUCGUGUAUUAACACUCAUAGAAUACGACACGACAUCACCCUUCGUGCUUUAUCACUCACUCACAAAACAUUGCACGACAUCACACUUCAUGCUUUACACUCUUCCUUACCCAAAUAGUAGAAACAAUAACAAUCCAACAAGGGAAUUAUUAAUAAACAACCUCGUUUCAACAUUUUUUCACGACCCAAUUUUCCCUCCAUUGGGUUUCGUGAUGGCACCUAGUUUUAGGGACUAGGUAAGCCUAACAAUUUUUGAAUAUCAACAAUAAGGAAAAUCCAACAGUCUUAAUAUAGAAUCUUUACAAAUUUAUAGUUUUCCCAAAACCAGUAGUACAAGACAUAAGCUCUACAGAGUUUUGCUGCAACUUCUAAACACAAUCGUAUGGAAAUAAGUACAACAAUGUGAAUAUAAAAUAGGAAGGUCACUCCGCAGCCUGCGAACGCAGUAGCAGGUUUACCUUGAGUCUCCACCGCAAUGACCCACACAACUACUAUCGAUCAAAUACCUGUAUCUUUACACAAAAAUGUACAGAAGUAUAGUAUGAGCACACAACAGCAGUGCCCAGUAAGUAUCAAGACUAAUCUCGAUAGAGUAGUGACAAGGAAUAGUCAAGGCACCUACUGGUCAAAUAAACUGAACAUGAUAUAAUGAUAAACUAUCGGAAUAUGAUAAGAAGGUAAUAUCAGCAACAGGGAGAAACUCAACCACAAACAGUAGAACAAUAAAGGGAAACACGGAUAGAAACGAAGAUAACUAAGUAAAUUAACACCAACAUAGCUGGGACACAGACAAGAACAAUGUACUCCAAUAAGAAAGGCGAUGUCAACUCAGUUAAUUAUAUCAUUUCUGAUGCACAAUUCCAGCCAUCUCAAACUCGAUGUCUCAUAUCAUAACCUCAACUACCAAACCUUUAGCACACCCGGUACCUCGUACCCACUUAUUUCUAUCUCACUUUACGCAAUGAUGUUCUCAUGCUACUCAGUACAUAUGGUUCAUAACCAAUGUAAUUAAGAUGUUCGAGGAGUCUCAUUUACAUAACAUAAAGUAGAGUACAAUUUAUAAACCAACUAGGAGCUCAACAAGAAAAGACGAAGUUAUUAUUAGAAAUCAUUUGAAUAAAGAAGGUACCAUUUUCAAUUAAAAUACAACAUCGGAUGAUUAUCUCCUUUAAAAAGGGAUUUAAUAAAUUAACUUAGUAAAAAUUCCUUUUUAAGUAAAAUACAACCUCAAACGGUUUAAGGAAAAUUUAAUUGAGAAAUUAAUUGGGUUAAAAACAUAACAAUUGCUGAAAUUUGAAGUAUUGAAAUAUGUAUAAAAAUAAGGCGAGGUAUUGUAAAUAAUAUGGAUUCCAACACAACGGAUUACAUCAGUAAAGGAAUCUAAACCGUUAAAUAACAACAAUUACAACAGAGACAAAAUAAUCACAGAAGGAGUACAGCUCAACACAAAGAUAACAACCGGGGAUCUCCCAGGAUAUCGUCCUGUAGUCCCAAAUGUAAAUACUCGGGGAUCUCUCAGUAUCCUCUAUGUAUGAGCUAGGGAUCUCUAGGUAUCCGCAAUAUAUGUGUUGGGGAUCUCUUGGUAUCCCGAGGAUCUCUUGGUAUCCUCAAUAUAUAUGUUGGGGAUCUCUUGGUAUCCAAAGGAUCUCUUGGUAUCCUCAAUAUAAGUGCCGGGGAUCUCUUGGUAUCCCAAGGAUCUCUUGGUAUCCACAAUAUAAAAGUCCAGGGGGAUCUCCCGGGAUAGGUCUUAAACACAUCCACAGCUCAAUAAAACACCACAAUGUAAAUAUCAAUAACACUAAUCUCCAUAUUACAAGCAUUGCUUUAUCAUAAUGAUAUCUGGACAUGAAAUAGAUCAUAUAUAUGCCCAUAACCACGUCUCUGGUUUUAAUAGUUGUUCAUAAAUCACAACAUUGCCAAUUAAUCUCAUGUUAACAAAAUAUGGUUUCAAACCUCAAAUUUACUAACAAUGAGGUAUGAAGACGUCAUAAUUACUUACGCGAAUUAACGAGUCACAUUUAAUGCCACUCGGGCACUUACCUCGUCGGCUAAAACUCAAUAAUUACAACACGAAUUUGGCAUACUAUACAUAGAGAAUUUCAUAAAAGAAUUUUUCAACUAAGCCUAAUAGGCAUGACUCUCUAUAAGUACUAUAGUACAAUUUUUUUUUUAAUUUCACAAGGGAGAAUUUAAACAUAUAAAAUUUUCACCACAGGGACCUCGUCCUUACAUAGCAUGCACCGCAACUUGUAGCUCGGUUUAAAUAUUUUACAUCAUACAAAAAAACACGAGGAUCUCCUCCGUACCACAACUAAUAUGCAUAUUGUGCCAACUGCAAUUUUCCAUUUCCUUUCUUUCUUCUUCUAAAUAAUUCCAUUAACCGAAAUCACAACAUAUAAUGAGCCCUCAUACCGUUAGGGCAUAUAAUUCAUAAUUGAAAUCUAUUAUUUGGAAAUUACAUUAAACUCACCAAAAUGAUUUAACGAAAGUGACUUUUAGUCUCACAACUAUUUUUAUUGCCCAACAUAUAAUGAUAGACAUGGCUAUCUCCAUAUAAUCUCCCAACAUGAGUAUUCACAUAAGUAGAUUUCAGGAUUACAAAGAUCAUUCAUGAUUGGAGCAUAUUAGGAGGAUUUGCCUCGAUACUCAUAACCGAAUCAAGUUAAUGAAAUUGUGACUUUAUAAUAACUUGAGAUCGCACUUGCAAUUAUACCAUAUGGUGUAGAGACCUCAACCAUACCAUAGAAAACAUAUAAAUGGGUCGGGCCUCCGCCUUUUAGGAGUCCUCUACCCGCUUGUCCUCCACCUAACUAGUAGUGUAGGUAGAGUAGUAACUGUAAUAGAGUACUUGGCUAGAGUGUUCUGAUGAAAUAUGUUUCUCCCAAGUCUGGGACAAUUUCUCAUGAUAUUCCUAGUAUCUCCACAUUCAUAACAACCCAUCUGCGGUGCGGUUGUUCAUACUGAGUCUAUGCCGGAUAACUAAAAUAACCCUGGUAGGAAAUCCCGUGCCACUGGUGCAUUAAAAGACGCCUUCCCCACGCGAGCGUUGUGAUUAACUUAAGCACUACAGGUAUACUGAAAUUAUUUCCAUGACCCCGCUGAUACUGAAAUGUAGAAUUAUUAAGGACGCGGGAAUAUCUCAAGUCCCAUCAUUAUCCCAUUCAAAUCUCAGCUCGUAAUCAUAUACAAGUAUUGGAAAACCUUUCAAUACCAUAUAUGUAUAGCUCAGGAAAACUAAUAUAACACAUAACCCCGCAAUCUAAUCGUUGAUAGUGGACUCCCUUCAUUUGGUGCGAAAUCAUAGGACCCAUUUCCGACGAUCCACAAUACUAACCUUCACCUCUCAUGCGACACCAGUCAUAAGACACCUCAAGCCAUUUACUUGGCGCAUGUCAUCCUUAUGACAGUUAAACUCACUUCCUCUAGUGUCUCAGUUGCUAGGAUGUACCCUUCGCUAAAUAGAAAUCUCAUGUGAACCACAGUCUCUAAUACCACCAACUAUCUUCAGACUUAGAUCCACCGCGUGAUCCUACCACGAUUGUGACGAUUAAGCAACUAAUUAAAACUUUUAAGAUCGUAUUUGUCAACCAGAUAUCAGAACCUGCUGCACCCCCAUGUGCACAACUGAAUGAUCUAUCAAUAAUUCCACAUCCUCGACCUGGACAACAAUAUGAUAACAAUGGUUGAGCAAUCCUGACUCCCUUAUAACCCCUCGGUAGUAUCACAAACCAUUGGCGUAUAAUUGAUACCGAGUGCGUAAUUUCAUACACGAGUGGAUGCAAAAGAACAUAAGAUAUAUGUUUUAAGCUUAAUGAAUGUCGCACGAUAAGGAAUAAAAAGGAAUGGAACAUAAUAGCUCUGUAGCCUCUCAAAGAAAAGUACAGAUGUCUCCGUACCGAUCCGUAAGACUCUACUUAACUCGCUUAUGACUUGUAGCACCUAUGAACCUAGAGCUCUGAUACCAACUUGUCACGAUCCAAUUUUCCCUACGUUGGGUUUCGUGAUGGCAUCUAGUCUUAGGGACUAGGUAAGCCUAGCAAUUUCUGAAUAUCAACAAUAAGGAAAAUCCAACAGUCUUAAUAUAAUCUUUACAAAUUUAUAGUCUUCCCAAAAUUGGUAGUACAAGUCAUAAGCUCUACAAAGUUUCACUACAACUUCUAAACCAAUCGUAUGGAAAUAAGUACAACAGUGUGAAUAUAAAAUAGGAAGGUGACUCCGAGGCCUGCGAACAUAGCAACAGGAUUACCUUGAGUCUCCACCGGAAGGACCCGCACAACUACUAUCGAUCAAAUACCUGUAUCUGUACACAAAAAUAUACAGAAGUAUAGUAUGAGCACACCAUAGCAGUGCCCAGUAUGUAUCAAGACUAACCUCGGUAGAGUAGGGACGAGGAACAGUCAAGGCACCUACUGGUCAAAUAAAUUGAACAUGAUAUAGCGAUAAACUAUUGGAAUACGAUAACAAGGUAACAUCAGCAGCAGGGAGAAACUUAACCACAAACAGUAGAACAAUAAAGGGAAACAUGGAUAGAAACGAAGAUAACCAAGUAAAUUAACACCAACAUAGCUGGGAGAUAGACAAGAAAAAUGCACUCAAAUAAGAAAGGCGAUCUGAACUCAAUAAAUCAUAUCAUAUCUGAUGCAUAAUUCCAGCCAUCUCAAACUUGAUGUCUCAUAUCAUAACCUCAACUACCAAACCUUUAGCACACCCGGUACCUCGUGCCCACUUAUUUCUAUCUCACUUUGCGCAACAACGCUCUCAUGCUACUCAGUACAUAGGGUCCAUAACUAAUGCAAUUAAGAUGUUCGAGAAGUCUCAUUUACAUAACUUAAAGUAGAGUACAGUUUAUAAACCAACUAGGAGCUCAACAAGAAAAGACGAAGUUAUUAUUAGAAAUCAUUUGAAUAAAGAAGGUACCAUUUUCAAUUAAAAUACAACAUCGGAUGAUUAUCACCUUUAACAAGGGAUUUAAUAAAUUAACUAAGUAGAAAUUCCUUUUUUAGUAAAAUACAACAUCAAACCGUUUAAGGAAAAUUUAAUUGAGAAAUUAAUUGGGUUAAAAACAUAACAAUUGUUGAAAUUUGAUGUAUUGAAAUAUAUAUAAAAAUAAGGCGACGUAUUGUAAACAAUAUGGAUUCCAAGACAAAGGAUCAUAGAAGUAAAGGAAUCUAAACCGUUAAAUAACAACAAUUACAACAGAGACAAAAUAAUCACAAAAGGAGUAUAACUCAAUGCAAAGAUAACAAACGGGGAUCUCCCAAGAUACCGUCAUGUAGUCCCAAAUGUAAAUACUCGGGGAUCUCUCAGUAUCCUCCGUAUAUGAGCUAGGGAUCUCUUGGUAUCCCGAGGAUCUCUUGGUAUCCUCAAUAUAUGUGCUGGGGAUCUCUUGGUAUCCCGAGGAUCUCUUGGUAUCCUCAAUAUAUGUGAUGCGGAUCUCUUGGUAUCCUGAUAAUCUCUUGGUAUCCUCAAUUUAUGUGCUGGGGAUCUCUUGGUAUCCUCAAUAUAUGUGCUGGGGAUCUCUUGUAUCCCGAGGAUAUCUUGAGGAUAUAAGUGUUGGGGAUCUCUUGGUAUCCCAAGGAUCUCUUAGUAUCCUCAACAUAAAAGUGCAGGGGGAUCUCCCGGGAUAUCGUCCCAUAGUCCCAAAGUAAACAUAUAGGGGGAUCUCCCGGGAUACCGUCCCGUAAUCCCAAAGUAAAAGCACAACAGUAAUACGAAGAAUACAAAAAAACAAUCCAACAACCCAAUCACAAGGAAUUCCACCACCAAGAGUAUGAAUACACGACAAUAAGAGAAUCACUGGAAAACCAAGAAGCACAAUAACCUUGACAAAACAACAAGACAUAAUAGGCAUAUGAUAACUACACCGACAACCACAACAAUUUGGACACCUAGCAUAUAUACACGGGGUCAUAGAAGAAUUCACAAUUUAGAGAUAACAAAACGAUAAGAAGAACAAUCGCUUCAGUUAAGGCAAAAAGGCCACGUAACAAGUAAGAGUUAGAGGGAAGCUAACAACAUCGUAUGGAGCAUAUAGAUGUAAAUUAAGCAAUUAGGAAACUUAAUCAUAACGGAAUACUUCCCACAUAAUGAACAUAAGGGCCUAAGAAACCUAAAGGCAAAUUUCCCACAAAUAAGUCUGAGCACACACUCGUCACCUCGCGUGCACAGACUACAAAUAGCAUAGAAGACUCAAAUCCUAAGGGAAAGUCCCCCACACAAGGUUAGGCAAGAUACUUACCUUGAACCAAGGUCAAAUCAAAUCCAAAAUCACGCUCUUGCCACGAGUAUCCAACUCCGGGUGGCCCAAAUCUAGUCAAAUCAAUUACAUAACGUAAAUAUAACUAUAAACAACUAAUUUAGCUAAUGAAAUCGAAGCUAAUACAAGAAAAUAGAAAAAUGUCCAAAAAUCCCCAUUGGGGUCGUAUCUCGGAACUCGACAAAAAUCACGGAAUAUGAACCCCCAUCCAACCACGAGUCCAACCAUACCAAUUUUGCUAAAUUCUGACAUCAACUCGACCCUCAAAUUUUCAACUAAAGUCUUGGAAGAUUUCUGCCAUUUUCAACCCAAAAAUGAGUAAUCUAGUCGGAAUAUUCGAUGAUAAUCCCAUACGAUUGACUAACAAUAACCACAAGUGACUUAUCUCAAGUUUCCCAUAAAUUCUUGCUCAAAAAUCAUCCAAAACAAAAUGGAAAACUAGGGUAUAGAACCUUACCUCUUUGAUGAAGAUUUUGUGAUAAUUCCUUGUUAAUCUUCAAAGAUUUGAGUAAGAAUUGAAGAAUGAUUUGAUGAAGAUCACUUUCUCACUCUACGGAUCCCUCUCUCGCUCUAAAGCAUCCGAAUUUUGCUCAAAAAUGAUCCAAAAUAAACCCCAAAGCCUAUUUAUCAAAAUGAGGUCGGGUUAUUAAAAUAGAAAAAUUAACCCUCCGAAAUCAGGUAUGCGAUCUCAUAAUCCAUCGUAUAAUGGGUAUGCAGGUCACAGAUGCGUCGUGAAACUCGGUGCCUAGAACUGGGCUGUUCUGCUUCAUUCUGCGGCCAUUUUGUGAUUGCAUAAUGAUUUUGCGGUUCGCAUAGUUAUUUUGCGAUCGCACAUUUGACCGCAGAAUCGCAUUUUUUCAGCUUUUGGUAAUUUGGUCAUAACUUUGUGUAGGAAUGUCCAAAUGACAAACGGUUUGAAGAGUUGGAAACUAGACUCAGAGAUCUUUAAUUAGAUAGGUUGUACAUCACAUUUCACCUUAUAUACAUGUAUAUAUGCUCAUCCAAAGUAGGCUCUUGUGCGCAUUCUCUUAAAUUUUUAGCAUAUUAUGAAAUUUUCCAACUUGGCUUAGUAUUAGGACUUUACUUAGACCCCAUAUAUCUUAUAAUAUGCCUUGUACACUUAUUAUCAUAUACAAUUGGUAUCCAACAUGUUAAUAGACCCCUUCCGCACGUAAAAUAAUAUAAUUAGAACACAUCAACUUUCUUAUUUCGCCAAAAUGCGCCUAAUUGUCCUACAGACUUCCAUAUCCAAAUACGGACACACGUAUAAGUCCGAAAUCUCCAUACGAAGCUAUUGGCAUCAUUAAAAAUUCAUUCCGAGGUCGUUUGCUCAAAAGUCAACUCUUCGGUCAACUUUUUCCAUUUGAACUUCAAAAUAAGAAUUUGUUUUUCUUUAAAUUUAACUCUGAAUCUUACGAAAACCAAAUUCGACCAUACAGGCGGGUCAUAAUGCAUAUUACAAAGCUUCUCAAGGUCUUAAGCUGUUGAACGAGACGCUAAUUCUUAAAAUAAUAGGUCGGGUCGUUACACAUUUAACUUCACAAUAUUGAUUCACAACUAGAGUCAAUACUCAACAAAUAUCUAAUACCUGGAAAACAUAAUAAGACUUGUUUAACAUGAUGAAUAACCAGUUUAAGCACGAACAAUACGUAUAAAGAAACAUAACAGUCACAAGUAUAAGAUUCACUUGCAUGCGAUGACCCGACAACAACGUAUAGAUACUCGUCACCUCACCUAUAUAUCGUACUCAACAACUAAACAUGUAGCAAAUAAGGCAACAAUACCUAAUACCUCAAGCUAAGGUUAGCCACAACACUUACCUCGAUUCCACGGCCAAACUCAAGCCUCAAUUACCGCUUUUUCCUCAAGAUUCCACCCCCAAUCCACUUGUAUCUAAUCAUAAUUAACUUAGUAAUAACAAUUAUCGCUAAAGAAAUCAAUUCCAUUGCAUAAUUACAAUUUCCCAACAUUUUUCCCAAAAAGUCGAAAACCAACCCCGGGCCCGCUUGGUCAAAACUCAAAGUUCAGAUCAAAACCCGAUUACCCAUUCACCCCUGAGCCUGGAUAUACAAUUGGUUUUGGAAUCUGACCUCAAUUUGAUGUCUAAAUCCCCAAAUUUUGAAAUUCCUAAAUUCUACCGGAAACACCCAAUUCCACCAUGAAAACCCUAGAUUUUGUGAUAAAAAUUUGUAAAAAGAUGAAAUAGAUUGAAAGAAAUGAGUUAAGAAUCAUUUACCUAUGAUUUGGGGAAGAAAUGGUCUUUGGAAAAUCGCCUCUUGAAGUUUAGGGUUUGAAAAUUUGAGAAAUGAAUCCAAAAUCCCGUCCAAAACUCAUUUUGAAUAGUUGCAGUUAUCGCAUUUGCGAUCACAGAUUCUCAAAUGCGAACUCGCAAAUGCGGACAUUACUUUGCUAAUGCGAAGGUUGUCCUGGCCUGUUGGUGUCGCAAAUGGGAACAAAUAUUCGCAAAUGUGGCCCCUGUUCUAGUCGCAAUUGCGACGAUGAGCUUCUCAAUUGCAAAGGUCCCCUCCCAGCCUACUGAUCCCAAAUGCGAAGAUUCUUCGCAAAUGCAAUGCUUGCAUAUUCGAGCCAGACUUCGCAUUAGACCUGCAACAUACCAGAAAAUUUUCCUAAAGUCCAAAAUCAUUCCGUAGCCUAUCCAAAACUCACCCGAGCCCUCGGGCUCCAAACCAACCAUGUACACAAGUCUUAAUACAUCAUACGAACUUGCUCAUGCGACCAAAUCCCCAAAAUAACACAUAUAACUAUGAAUUCAACACCAAAACACAUAAAAAUUUUAAGAUAGUUUGAAACUUCCUAUUUUCUCAACCAUAGGUUCGAAUCACGUCAAAUCACUUCCAUUUUUUCUCAAAAUUUUACAGAUAAUUUUAAAUAUUAUGACGGACCUGUACCGGGCUCCGAAACCAAAAUACGGGCCGGAUAAUAACAAGUUCAAAUAUUAUUCAAUUUCCAUAAACUAUUAUAUUUCCAGUUUAACAAUUUUCUUUAAAAAUUUAUUUCUCGGGCCAGGGACCUCAGAAUUCAAUUCCGGACAUAUGCCCAAGUCCCAUAUUUUACUAUGGACCCUCCAGGACCAUCAAAUCACGGGUCCAGGUUCGUUUGCCCAAAAUGUUGACCAAAGUCAACUUGAAUCAAUUUUAAAGGCAAAACUCAAUAUUUUUCUCAAAUUUUCAUAUAAGGGCUUUUCGAAAGCACGCCCGGACUGCACACGCAAAUCGAGGAAAAAAUAAGGUUUUCAAGGCCUUGGAACACAAAAUCGGAUUCUAAAACAAAAGAUGACCCUUUGGGUCAUCACAUUCUCCACCACUAAAUCAACCGUUCAUCCUCGAAUGGACAUAGAAUAAUGCUUGAGUCGGUGAAAAUAUGGGAAUAUCUGCUCCUCAUAUCGGACUCGGACUCCCAGGUAGCUCCCUCAAUAGGAUUACCUCUCCAAUGCACACGAAUCGAAGGGUAACUCUUCGAUCUCAACUGGCAAACCUGUUUGUCUAAAAUGGCUACCGACUCCUCCUCCCAAGCUAAAUCCUUGUCCAGCUGGACAGUGCUUAAAUCUAAUACGUGGAAUGCAUCGUCGUGAUACUUCCGAAGCAUGGACACGUGAAACACUGGAUGCACAACUGAUAAACCUGGCGGCAACGCAAGUCUGUAAGCCACCUCUCCCACUCGAUCAAGGAUCUCAAAAGGCCUGAUGUACCUAGGGCUUAGCUUUCCCUUCUUCGCAAAACUCAUCACGCCUUUCAUGGGCGACACCCGAAGCAACACUCUCUCUCUGACCAUGAAUGCUACGUGACGAACCUUAUGGUCGGCAUAACUCUUUUGCCUGGAUUGAGCUGCACAAAGUCUAUCCUGAAUGAUCUUAACCUUAUCCAAGGCAUCCUGUACUAAAUCUGUACCUAACAACUGAGCCUCUCCCGACUCAAACCAUCCCACCGGCGAUCGAUACUGUCUACCAUACAACGCCUCAUAGAGAGCCAUCUGGAUGCUCGAUUGAUAAUUGUUGUUGUAGACAAACUCCGCUAAUGGCAAGAACUGAUCCCAAGAACCUCCAAAGUCAAUAACACAGGCGCGGAGCAUAUCCUCCAAAAUCUGAGUAGUACGCUCGGACUAUUUGUCCGUCCGAGAAUGAAAUGCUGUGCUCGACUCAACCUACUUACCCAACUCAUGCUGAACUUGCCUCCAGAAAUACGAGGUAAACUGCAUACCUCGAUCAGAAAUGAUAGUCACGGGCACACCAUGGAGACAAAUGAUCUCAUGGAUAUAAACCUCUACCAAUCACUCAUAAGAAUAUAAAACUGCCACAUGAAUGAAAUACGCUGACUUGGUCAUCCUAUCCACAAUAAUCCAUACUGCAUCGAACUUUUUCUGAGUCUAGGGAGUCCAACAACGAAAUCCAUAGUGAUAUGCUCCCACUUCCACUCAGGGAUCUCAAUCUUCUGAAGUAAACCACCAGGUCUAUGCUCGUACUUUACCUGUUGACAAUUCAAACUCCGAGCUACAUACGCAACAAUAUCAUUCUUCCUCCUCCUCCACCAAUAAUGCUGCCGUAAGUCCUGAAACAUCUUGUCGGCGCUCGAAUGAAUAGAGUAUUGGUAUUUUGGACCUCCUCUAGAAUCAACUCACGAAGUCCAUCCACAUUGGGCACGCAAAUACGACCGUACAUCCUCAAAACUUCAUCAUCUCCAACUAUAACCUGCUUGGAAUCUACGUGCCGCAUUGUGUCCCUAAGGACAAGUAGAUGAGGGUCAUCACACUGCCGAUCUUUGAUAUGCUCAAAUAAUGAAGACAGAGUGACUGUACAAACUAGAACACGACUAGGCUCCGAAACAUCCAGCCUCACGAACUGAUUGGCCAAAGCCUGAACAUCUAAAACAAGCGGUCUCUCACUGACUAGAAUAUACUCAAGGCUACCCAUAUUAGCCGACUUCCUACUCAAAGCAUCAGCCACUACAUUGGCCUUCCCGGGAUGAUACAAGAUGGUGAUAUCAUAGUCUUUCAAUAGCUCCAACCACCUCCUCUUCCUUAAAUUUAACUCUUUCUUCUUGAACAAGUAUUGCAAACUCUUGUGAUCCAUGAACACCUCACACGACACGCCAUAUAAAUAAUGCCUCCAAAUCUUCAGCGUGUGAACAAUGGUUGCUAGCUCCAAAUCAUGAACCAGAUAGUUCUUCUCAUGAAUCUUCAACUGCCGUGAAGCAUAUGCAAUAACCUUUCCAUUCUGCAUCAAUACCACACCAAGUCCAAUACGAGAUGCGUCAUAAUACACUGUAUAUGGCCCUGAACCUGUAGGCAACACCAACACCAAUGCCGUAGUCAAAGUUGUCUUAAGCUUCUGAAAGCUCGCCUCACACUCAUCCGACCAUCUGAAUGAGCAACACUUCUGGGUCAACUUGGUUAUCGGGGCUGCUAUGGAUGAAAACCCCUCCACAAACCGAAGGUAGUAACCCCCCAAGCCCAAGAAACUCCGGAUCUCUGUAGCUGAUGUGGGUCUAGGCCAAUCCUUAACUGCCUCAAUCUUCUUAGGAUCCACCUGAAUACCCUCUACUGAUACAACGUGACCCAAGAAAGCAAUUGAACUCAACCAAAAUUCACACUUUUAAAACUUAGCAUAUAAUUGGCUGUCUCUUAGAGUCUGAAGAAUGACUCGAAGAUGCUGCUCAUGCUCCUCUUGGGUGCGGGAGUAGAUCAAGAUAUCAUCAAUAAAUACAAUCACUAAGGAAUCCGAAUAGGGAUUGAACACUCGGUUCAUCAAAUUCAUGAACGCUAUUGGGGAAUUUGUCAAACCAAAUGACAUCACUAGAAAAUCAUAAUGCCUGUACCGAGUCCAAAAAGCUGUCUUAAGGACAUCGGAUGCCCUAAUCCUAAACUGAUGGUAGCCAGACCUCAAAUCAAUCUUUGAAAACACCUUGGCAUCCUGAAGCUGAUCAAAUAAAUCAUCGAUCCUCGGCAAUGAAUACUUGUUCUUAAUGGUGACUUUGUUCAACUGCCGAUAGUCUAUGCACAUCCUCAUUGACCCAACCUUCAUCUUAACAAACAACAUCGGCACACCCCAGGGCGAGACACUAGGUCUAAUAAAGCCCUUGUCAAGCAAAUUUUGCAACUGUUCCUUAAAUUCUUUCAACUCUAGCGGGACCAUGCGGUACAACGGAAUAGAAAUGGGCUAAGUGCCCGGAGCCAAAUCAAUACAAAAGUCCAUAUCCCUAUCGGGUGGCAUCCCAUGCAGGUUUGCAAGAAAUACCUCAGGAAACUCACGAACUACUGGUACGGAAUCCAUGGAAGGAACCUCUGCAUUGGAAUCACGAGCAUAAGACAAAUAAGCCAAACACCCAUUCUCCACCAUACGCCAAGCCUUCACAUAAGAAAUGACCUUACUGGUAGAAUGACCAGGAGUCCCUCUCCACUCCAAUCAAGACAACCCCGGCAAGGCUAAGGUCAUGGUGUUGGCGUGACAGUCCAGUAUAGCAUGAUAAGGUGACAGCCAAUCCAUCCUCAAAUGACAUCAAAGUCGACCAUAUCAAGAAGUAGGAGAUCUACACGGGUCUCAAGACCCCCAAUAAUAACCACACACGAGCUAUAGACACGAUCUACAAUAAUAAAAUCACCCACCGAUGUGGACACAUAUACCGGAGCACUCAAAGAAUCACGAGGCACAACCAAAUACGUAAAAAAAUAAGAUGACACAUAAUAGUAUGUAGACCCUGGAUCAAAUAGAACUGAAGCAUCUCUACUGCAAAUUGAAACUGUACCGGUGAUAAUGGCAUCGGAUGCCUCAGCCUCGAGCCUGGCUGGGAAAGGAUAGCAUUGGGGUUGGGCCCUACCAUUCUGAAUUACAUCCCUGGGACAGCCUCCUGCCGGCUGGCCUCUGUCACACCUCCUUUUUACCUACACCCGGAAGGGUGUAAGGGAGUUUUUCCAAUUAAAGUGACAAUCGAAACGGGAUUAUUUUAUUUAAAAAUUCAAAGUCCCCACUUGGGAUAAUUUAUGGUGUCCCAAGUCACCGAUUUAGAAUCCCGAAUCGAGGAAAUAUUGACUCUGUUUUUCAGUCUGCGAACAUAGAAAUCCGGGUAAGGGAUUCUGUUAACCCGGGAGAAAGUGUUAGGCAUUCCCGAGUUCCAUGGUUUUAGCACGGUCGCUCAACUAUUAUUACUGGCCUAAUUAUCUGAUUUUAAAAACACUUUUAAACCUAUGGUGCAAUUUUAACUUAUUAACCACUUUUAAUUAAUUUUAGGAAGAUUCAACGUUAUCUAAAACACGUCUUGAACCACGCCAUAUGAAAUGCACCCACGGUCUGCAACAUAUUUUAUUUAACGUUGUUGAGAUUUGAAUUUGGGUCACAUAAAUGCACACCCGAGUUUAGGAAAUUAAUUUUUAAAUAGCAUGUCUAUAGCAACUAUGCUCUUUCAACUUUGCGAGGUCCAUGAAAAUUCAACUAAAUGGCACGCCUCGAUUUCUAAGGAUUAAAAAUUAAUUCAAUGAGGGCCAUGCAUUUGAGAUUUUUGUUUGGCACGACACACCUCAAAUUAUUUCAAAGUGGUUUUAUUAUCCGAAAUUGUUAUGAUUAGGUCACAUGAAAUGCACCCCCGAAUUUUGAAAUUAUAAAUCACAACUACGUCACGGGAACCAUACCAGUAGCCAUGAUAAUUUAAUUAUGUGCCUAAAGCAAACUAUGAUGAUUUCUGAUUAUUUUUCCUAAAAAUAGAUUAACCUUUCAUUCAAACAAGAUCCAAUUUCAAAUUUAAUGUCUUCAACAUAAUUGGCAUGAACUUAAAUAAUCAGAAUACUCCAAGUUUAAUCACGAUUCACUCAAAACGCAAAAUUAGCAUCACAUGGACUAACUUUUUUUUCGUCAAUCUGGGAACAUAAAACUUAAACUCAAUAGCAUAGACUAAAACGAUAUGUGAUACUACCAACUAUAUUUCUGAGUUGUAUAUCAUAUGCUUAUUUGGCUCACUUUUCUUUGCUAUAAAAAUACACUAAUUAAAGCACUAUCUUUUCCAGUUCAGCCACAUCAAUUUUUUUGCCAAUUCAAUCAGUUUCUUUUAAUGGCCCUCCAAAUACCUAUACUGCCUUAUAGGAAAGGAAAAUAAUUUUUUAUGAGUCAUGGAAAUCAUUGUGAAGUACAACUGAUACGUUCUAUUAUAAAUUUCACAUCGCUAUUGCAAAUUAAACAUAAUAUCAACCCAAGGUCUCCAUGAAUCAGAUUCAAUACCAAAUAAAGCAAUUAACAUAUCUCAAAUUAGAGAGGCGUGAGUGGACCUUUGAUGUUUAACUCGACCAAACAAAAGCCUUCAAUCAGAGACGAAAACUUAAUCAGCAGAACAAAACGAUAAUAGGACAACGCCGCCGAUCACAAACGGAACUUCGAACAGAACCUCACAUUCAUAACAUUGUAAUAACAUUGUAAUAUAACCAGAAUAAUAUGAAAGAAGUAAUCUUACCACCAAAAAUGGAAACCUCGAACCAGACCAGAAAACCUGCCGGAGCCGCGACAAAACUCCACAACGGGCCUCGUCGGAACCACGGACAGAACCUCAUCGUGAACUCAACCCGACUCAAACUCUGAACUCGCCGGAUUCCAGGGUUUUAAAUUGACAAUCAGAAGAAGAAACUAACAUUUGAAACAAAAAUCAAAGGACUUGAAUGCGAAGUCUGUCCUCCGUUUUUGUCGUUCGUCCCUUCACCACAAAAUCCCCAAAUUUCUUUUGCUAUGUCACUAUGUGUUUAUAUGAAGAAUCCCCAAUUGAAUAAAGUGUUUUUUGUUUGAGAAGAAAAUUUCAAAUGUAUGGCUGCUAUGAUAUUUGAAGAAGGAGGUGCCUCCUUUAUCCCUAAGUCAGCUUUUUAGUCUUUUCUUGGCAUUUCAGCUGAUGCAUUUUUGGGAGUCGACCAUGGGAACGACGGAUUCCAUUUUUGCAGAGUGUUUUUUUUGGCCUCCUCCUUAUAUUUUAUGUGUAGGUCCUAUUAUAUAGGGGUAGGGAUUAGGUUAGGGGUAUGGGCCUAGGAGUUAUGGGUUUGGAAAUUAUGGGCUAGGUCUAAAAUUAGACCUAAAAAUGAGUUGCUCGAUCCCAAGCUUUACUCUUUCCACGCGAAUGAGAUUAAAAUAUGAUCUUAUUUAUUAAUUGGUCCUACUUAAAUAAAAUAACUAUUAAAAUAAGACUGACCAUUAAAAUAAUACUAUUUUUGGUAUUUUUCAAGAUUAAAAAUAAUUACAAAACAUUAAUGAAAUUAUUUUGUAAUUUUCGUUUUCUUGUAUUAAAAUAAAAGUAAAAGAGUAAAAAUGAGUUGAAAUAGCUAUAUUAGGCCUAAAUUAAAUAUUUACGUGCUAAAAUAUGAAAAAUCUUGGGGAGGGUAAAAAAUCACAUGUCUACAGCUGCCCCUCUUUGACUGGAAAUACAAAGUAUUUUCAGACAAAGAAUGACUAGACAUGUUUUUUUGACCCGAGCC
Molecule: long non-coding RNA, 16360 nt
Filed under: Nicotiana tabacum (common tobacco)
Lineage: Eukaryota; Viridiplantae; Streptophyta; Magnoliopsida; Solanales; Solanaceae
Description: long non-coding RNA (NTAB_LNC012563)
Source: RNAcentral